This 2244-nucleotide long non-coding RNA is filed under the name Monodelphis domestica (gray short-tailed opossum). RNAcentral describes it as "lncRNA (ENSMODG00000039824.1)". The record is from RNAcentral. Lineage: Eukaryota; Metazoa; Chordata; Mammalia; Didelphimorphia; Didelphidae.
UAAUUUUGAGCUUUUACUAUCACUGCUUCCUGCUUCCCUUUUUUUCUUUGGAUUUUGGACUUUUGAAAGGAAAAUUUUCUCAGAAUAGAAAUGAUUCAAUUCAAGAAACAAUUAUUAACCACCUACUAUGUGCAACCCCCUAGGACAAGUUCUGGGGGUGGGGGGAUGAAAAACAGCCCAGGCCCUGCCCUCGCAAGGCUUAUAGUCUCCCAGAGAAGCUUGUCUCUUCUUUCCCUUUUCCUGUAGGUCUGUUUGCUUCUUGAUAUGAUGAAAUGUUUCCAAAUUCAGAUAACUCUUUUUGUGUAUGUGCUGCAAAGGAGUCAGCAAGACCCAGACGUGGGAGCUUGUGUUGUGCAAAGACCCCAGCCCCAGUUAUAGGGUGGAUAAGCCCGGCAGGACCCCUGCCUGCAUUCCUAGACCAGACGCCUGCAAUGCGCUCCAAGGGGAGCCCACUGCCUUUUCCUCAGCCCAGUGCUUAUUCGAAACGUAGCCAAAUGCAGAGGAAGGUCCCUCGUCCCUACUGUUCCUGGAAGGACUUCUUUGGAGGCCAUCUAACGACCUACCCUGGUUAGGUGGUUUGCCGCCACCUCCAAGGGUGGCCCGUUACUGCCUGUUUAGGCCAGCUUCCUUUGGUAGGAAAUUUGUCCUUAAAUCCAUCUAACAUCUGCCUCCCUGAGAUUCCCCUAGAGUUCCUAGUUCUGCCCUCUGGGGUCUGGCUGAGCCGUUAAUCCCCCUAUUGCACAACGUAUCUAUCCAACUGUAGAGAAUCUCAGAAGCAGAAAUCUGCCAGGAUAUGAACUAGCAAAGUCCAUUUUAUCCUCAGCAUGGGCCCUCCAUCUUCCACAGGAAGAUCCCAUCUCUCCCCUAGCUUGUGGAUGUGGCCAAUUUGUCACCUGAUGGUGACUUUCCUUGUACCUUGCUAGACUGAUCCUCAGCUGACACCCACAAUCCAUCACAGACCCUCAGCUUGAAACAUUUUGUCCUUGGAAGGUUCUGCCUCAGUUUCCACCCUUCUAGCAUAGCCUUUAAGAGCCCCUAAUCAUUCCCUCGACCCCUUGGCGUAGCAGGGAGUCAUCCCAGGAGGAGGAUGCUAAAAGGUACUUGAAUCUUCAGAAUUUAGAGACAGUUAGCCUCUUACCUUUCAAUGAAGUCAGCUUUCUUACCUCCCUUUGGUGGAGUUCCAGGUCCCAGGAUUAGGGGGUCCCAUGUCCAGCUGCCUUCCAGUCCCAAAUCCUCUCGACUUGCUCCUCCCCUCUGCCUCCAGCUUCCAAAGCAUCUUAUUUCGUAGCUUGAUGGGAACAAACGGAUACCACUGCCACUGUCUAUACCACUCCCAUCCCUCCAAGGGGGGCAAAAAAUAUACCCAGUAGCCUCUAGACCAGGUCAACAAUAGGAGAGUCCAUUAGUAAAGAAGGCACUGAAUCCUUCCAUUUCAGAUCAGAGGAAGGGUCCCUGCCUUUGGUCCUGAGCUUCCUAUUCUCCAUCCUCUGUAGAAAGGGACCGUAAUGAUCUCACACCAGGGAUCAUUUUGCAUAAGAAUCUUCCUAUCACAGCAUCAUCUGAUUGUGAUUCCAGGAAUGUAAUAGCCAGAUGGCGAGACAUGAGCACCUCAUCUUAAAUAUUGCACUUAUUACUCUUUUAAAAAAUCACAGUUCAAUAUUCUUUAGUUUUUCCAGAAAUCUGAAAAGUACUUAGGAAAAAAAAAAGCCAAUUUCUCCCUCCUGAAAUAUGUCUGUUUUAUUUUGGGGAAUCUUCUAGUGUGUUCCCCUAGACAGUGUUGGGAUCACCCAGAGACUGUGCCUGGAGCAGGGACCCAGGACACCCACAGCAGAGCUGGGAGUUGAGGGACUUCAGGGCCAGGGAUCCCCACCUUGCCCUGAAUGGUUAAGGGUCCAUCUUGAGGGGUUCUGGCCAGGCAAAACCGAGAGAAGCCACAAUGCCCUCCUCCCCACCUCUCCCAGCUGGGGCAGGGACAUGAAGCGGAGGUUCCCCAAAGGAGUUUCUCCUCCCCUGGCUCUUUGGUGGAUCUGUGGGGGCUGGGGUGCUCUGAGACCGAAAGGUGCCAGCUUGUCCUUCCCCUCUACUCCAAAGCACCAGACCCACAUGCCCAGGUCCCUUCCCAGCCAGAUGUGGAGUUUCCAGCUGUGUCCACGUGGGAGUGACUGUCAUAAUUGUUAGACCAUGUGCAGUGUGAUAUUUUUUUAACAGACAAAUAAUAAAAAGUGUAACAGUGCCUGUGUAACA